RNAcentral lists this unclassified non-coding RNA (331 nucleotides) under soil metagenome. Its description in RNAcentral is "partial contains 5.8S ribosomal RNA, internal transcribed spacer 2, and large subunit ribosomal RNA". The stretch from base 1 to 120 matches the Rfam family "5.8S ribosomal RNA", at positions 35 to 154 of the family's 154-position model. The record is from RNAcentral.
GAUGAAGAACGUAGCAAAAUGCGAUAAGUAAUGUGAAUUGCAGAAUUCAGUGAAUCAUCGAAUCUUUGAACGCACAUUGCGCCCGCCAGUAUUCUGGCGGGCAUGCCUGUUCGAGCGUCAUUUCAACCCUCAAGCACAGCUUGGUGUUGGGACUCGCGUUAAUUCGCGUUCCUCAAAUUGAUUGGCGGUCACGUCGAGCUUCCAUAGCGUGUAGUAAAACCCUCGUUACUGGUAAUCGUCGCGGCCACGCCGUUAAACCCCAACUUCUGAAUGUUGACCUCGGAUCAGGUAGGAAUACCCGCUGAACUUAAGCAUAUCAAUAAGCGGAGGA